Molecule: long non-coding RNA, 1588 nt
Filed under: Pogona vitticeps (central bearded dragon)
Lineage: Eukaryota; Metazoa; Chordata; Lepidosauria; Squamata; Agamidae
Description: lncRNA (ENSPVIG00000019645.1)
Source: RNAcentral
GCAUCUUUACAUCAAGAACUACUUGGGGUAGUGUCGCAAAAUCAUCGGCCUCCCCACCCCAUGGAAAGAAACAUGCGUCUAAACGCAGAGUCUGAGCUGUGUUUGUGUUCCUGGAACAGGAGGCAUGUCAAGCCACACACACCGUUACUGAAAUGAAGGUGAUUUUCCUUGACAGUUCAUCUCCGCUUUUCCCCUUCGUUCAAAUCGACCCGAGCAAGCAAACCAAGGAAGAGAUGACACCGGAAGUCCGGGUUCUGAUACCAGUGACCUUUAAUGACUAAGAACCCACAGUGACGAAAGGAAAAUAAUAAAAUAAAACCAAACCCCAGGAAUAAUCCUUAACAUCUCACUGGAAUUGGUGGCUUUUAUUUUCAAGGAACACACUGUUUUCUUCACCCCCCUCCCUGUCUUGUUCUCAUCUUUAAUGCAAAUGUUUAAUAGAUAUCAUAACUUAAAACUGUGUUUGGCAGCCUGGUCUGUGCCCAUGAAACCUUAAACAAGUAUAUAAAAAUAUGCCAUUAAAUUCAUAUCGACAAUCGAAAGACUCAGGGACGUUAUGUACAGAGGAGGCGAUAUAUAUCAGUAUUUACAGUAAGACUUCGGCAGCUGAGAAGUCAGUAAAGCUCACAGGAAAGAGGUGCGGCAGGUUUUCUAUCCAGUCUUUCCAAACCUGCUGAUCUAUUUGAUCAGAGGUGAGAACGGCCUUUUGUAUGUAUCCCUGUAAAUGAAGUUUUUCUCUUUUUUGGGUGAUCACCAUUUUGUGGCGCAAUGAUGGAGAGACCGUUCUCCCGAAUUUGUGGUGAGAUGCUCCCCCCGCUACUAGGGUCCAUCUCCAACCUUAAAGAGCACAUGUUCUUCGCCCCCACUUGUGUAAGGCUGAAGCAGGUCACUUCCAGUCUGGUUUGCUGAGAGGUGAGCGCAAGACAACGGGCAAGUCUACGCUUGAAUGUUGAAGGACCGGUUGUCCUGGUUAGGUGGAUGUUCAGAGGAGGGGAAACAAGGGGGCCGGAUAGCUGGACAGCUCACAAUAGCAGCGACACAAAUCUCUCAGUGACCUGUGAGUGGAACAGCUGAAAGCCCCUGAACCCUGCUGGCAUCAAGCGGACAUGUCCCUUUUCCAGAACAUGUGCAACCUAUUUCUUUCCAAGCCACAGAGCUGUUAAUAAGCCAAUUCCUACCUGUUCCAGUGCUUGGCUCUCAAAAUAGACCCACAAAUGAUGUAAGGAUUUUGGUGAGGCUCGUUAAGUUGAGGAAGUCGCUUUUAUGGGUUGCCUUGAGGCCAGGGGAGGAACGUGAGGUUUGUGCAUGUGUUCCACCUGUUUCUUCUGUAGAUGGAACGGCGUCACCCUAACUCUGGGUCUGCUCAGGGUCAAGGUGUAAAGGACAAUCGGUUGGUUUAGGGUCCGCCAGUGGGCAUGAUUUUCUAAAUCAAUAGAGGGAUUUUUUUCUUGAGUUAAAAACAAAAAACCAUGCAGAGGAUCAAAUAUUUGCUAGACUCCAUCAUGUCGUCCUUCAAGCAUCACCCCCUCGGACAAGGGCUUUGUAAAGCAGGGCGGGCGAUGCAUGACUCAUCAGGUGUGGCUGAAGG